RNAcentral lists this ribosomal RNA (450 nucleotides) under uncultured bacterium. RNAcentral's name for it is "partial 16S ribosomal RNA". It matches the Rfam family "Bacterial small subunit ribosomal RNA", at positions 338 to 795 of the family's 1533-position model. The record is from RNAcentral.
CCUACGGGUGGCAGCAGUAAGGAAUAUUGGUCAAUGGACGGAAGUCUGAACCAGCCAUCCCGCGUGCAGGAAGAAGGUCCUAUGGAUUGUAAACUGCUUUUAGCAGAGACGAAACGCCUUCAUUUAUGGGGGUUUGACGGUAUCUGCGGAAUAAGCACCGGCUAACUCCGUGCCAGCAGCCGCGGUAAUACGGAGGGUGCAAGCAUUAUCCGGAAUAACGGGGGUUAAGGGGUGCGAAGGCGGGGGAUGUGAAAGCCUGUAGCUUAACUACAGAAUUGCCAUUGAUACUGAGUUUCUUGAAUUGGGUUGAGGUUAGCGGAAUGUGACAUGUAACGGUGAAAUGUUUAGAUAUGUCAUGGAACACCGAUUGCGAAGGCAGCUAGCUGGGCCUUGAUUGACGCUGAGGCACGAAAGCGUGGGUAGCGAACAGGAUUAGAUACCCGUGUAGUC